RNAcentral lists this microRNA (27 nucleotides) under Pan troglodytes (chimpanzee). Its description in RNAcentral is "ptr-miR-1183". RNAcentral also lists the same sequence under 2 other names. Lineage: Eukaryota; Metazoa; Chordata; Mammalia; Primates; Hominidae. The record is from miRBase by way of RNAcentral.
CACUGUAGGUGAUGGUGAGAGUGGGCA